UGGGGAAUUUUGGACAAUGGGCGAAAGCCUGAUCCAGCAAUGCCGCGUGUGUGAAGAAGGCCUUCGGGUUGUAAAGCACUUUUGUCCGGAAAGAAAUCCUUGGCUCUAAUACAGUCGGGGGAUGACGGUACCGGAAGAAUAAGCACCGGCUAACUACGUGCCAGCAGCCGCGGUAAUACGUAGGGUGCAAGCGUUAAUCGGAAUUACUGGGCGUAAAGCGUGCGCAGGCGGUUUGCUAAGACCGAUGUGAAAUCCCCGGGCUCAACCUGGGGACUGCAUUGGUGACUGGCAGGCUAGAGUAUGGCAGAGGGGGGUAGAAUUCCACGUGUAGCAGUGAAAUGCGUAGAGAUGUGGAGGAAUACCGAUGGCGAAGGCAGCCCCCUGGGCCAAUACUGACGCUCAUGCACGAAAGCGUGGGGAGCAAACAGGAUUAGAUACCCUGGUAGUCCACGCCCUAAAACGAUGUCAACUAGUUGUUGGGGAUUCAUUUCCUUAGUAACGUAGCUAACGCGUGAAGUUGACCGCCUGGGGAGUACGGUCGCAAGAUUAAAACUC
Molecule: ribosomal RNA, 555 nt
Filed under: uncultured bacterium
Lineage: Bacteria
Description: partial 16S ribosomal RNA
Rfam family: Bacterial small subunit ribosomal RNA
Source: RNAcentral